Molecule: ribosomal RNA, 1368 nt
Filed under: Microbacterium sp. C1-7
Lineage: Bacteria; Bacillati; Actinomycetota; Actinomycetes; Micrococcales; Microbacteriaceae
Description: bacterial SSU rRNA
Rfam family: Bacterial small subunit ribosomal RNA
Source: RNAcentral
AGGAGCUUGCUCUUGUGGAUCAGUGGCGAACGGGUGAGUAACACGUGAGCAACCUGCCCCUGACUCUGGGAUAAGCGCUGGAAACGGCGUCUAAUACUGGAUAUGUGACGUGACCGCAUGGUCUGCGUUUGGAAAGAUUUUUCGGUUGGGGAUGGGCUCGCGGCCUAUCAGCUUGUUGGUGAGGUAAUGGCUCACCAAGGCGUCGACGGGUAGCCGGCCUGAGAGGGUGACCGGCCACACUGGGACUGAGACACGGCCCAGACUCCUACGGGAGGCAGCAGUGGGGAAUAUUGCACAAUGGGCGAAAGCCUGAUGCAGCAACGCCGCGUGAGGGAUGACGGCCUUCGGGUUGUAAACCUCUUUUAGCAGGGAAGAAGCGAAAGUGACGGUACCUGCAGAAAAAGCGCCGGCUAACUACGUGCCAGCAGCCGCGGUAAUACGUAGGGCGCAAGCGUUAUCCGGAAUUAUUGGGCGUAAAGAGCUCGUAGGCGGUUUGUCGCGUCUGCUGUGAAAUCCCGAGGCUCAACCUCGGGCCUGCAGUGGGUACGGGCAGACUAGAGUGCGGUAGGGGAGAUUGGAAUUCCUGGUGUAGCGGUGGAAUGCGCAGAUAUCAGGAGGAACACCGAUGGCGAAGGCAGAUCUCUGGGCCGUAACUGACGCUGAGGAGCGAAAGGGUGGGGAGCAAACAGGCUUAGAUACCCUGGUAGUCCACCCCGUAAACGUUGGGAACUAGUUGUGGGGUCCAUUCCACGGAUUCCGUGACGCAGCUAACGCAUUAAGUUCCCCGCCUGGGGAGUACGGCCGCAAGGCUAAAACUCAAAGGAAUUGACGGGGACCCGCACAAGCGGCGGAGCAUGCGGAUUAAUUCGAUGCAACGCGAAGAACCUUACCAAGGCUUGACAUAUACGAGAACGGGCCAGAAAUGGUCAACUCUUUGGACACUCGUAAACAGGUGGUGCAUGGUUGUCGUCAGCUCGUGUCGUGAGAUGUUGGGUUAAGUCCCGCAACGAGCGCAACCCUCGUUCUAUGUUGCCAGCACGUAAUGGUGGGAACUCAUGGGAUACUGCCGGGGUCAACUCGGAGGAAGGUGGGGAUGACGUCAAAUCAUCAUGCCCCUUAUGUCUUGGGCUUCACGCAUGCUACAAUGGCCGGUACAAAGGGCUGCAAUACCGUGAGGUGGAGCGAAUCCCAAAAAGCCGGUCCCAGUUCGGAUUGAGGUCUGCAACUCGACCUCAUGAAGUCGGAGUCGCUAGUAAUCGCAGAUCAGCAACGCUGCGGUGAAUACGUUCCCGGGUCUUGUACACACCGCCCGUCAAGUCAUGAAAGUCGGUAACACCUGAAGCCGGUGGCCUAACCCUUGUGGAGGGA